CUCAGCCACACUCCAGGACCAUGGUCUCCCUUUAAGAGGCCACUGGACAUCGUAGAGCUCUCAGCAUCAAAGGUCAUGGUCCUCUCCAGCAGACCCCCCUCACUGCCACCAAGCCCUAAAUUCAAACAGGAUGAGCAACCAACUCGGCUUGCUGUGAUUUCACGAAGCUCUUGGUCCACAGAGGAAAUCCCUACCUGACCCGUCGAUCAGCCCGAAACUUCAACAUCUUUUUUGGAAGCUCAGUCCCCAGUUCGGCAGCCUCGGAGGAGCCACCAGCCACCCUGCUGCUACCAUCCCUCUGAGAAGUAAGUCCUUGGAUCCAGUUCUCAAUGCUGUGGCAGAGACGCAGGGUGAGCUGGGGCAGACUCCAUGGGCUGCCCUUUCUUCCUGGCUCUAGCACUGGAGAACAGGGACAGGGCUCUCUCUGGGCAAUAGGAGGGGUAGCCCAGGUGCCCUAGGGGGCCUGUGGCUUUAACAUCCUAGCAUUCGCCUGUGAUGCUACAGUUAGAGGUCUGGAGGCAGAAUAAACGAAGAGAGGACCUCCUCCCAGCUCAGGUUCACAAGACAGAAAUGCAGAACUGGAGAGCAGGUGUACCGCUUCCAGGUAGUCCGACCUCACUGAGCUAAGGACACUGAGCAGCUGGGCGAGCGGAGGAACACGGGCUGCAUUCCCAUCUGCACGGAGACUCGUGCCAGCCUGACCUGCAGAGAGAAAGUGCUCCAGCCUCUCCAGCUUCCAGCCCAGACACGGGCUCUGGAGCUGCAAACCUACUUGCUUCUCAGAGACCUUCCAAGCCCUUCUGAGGGUUAAAGGAAGCUUCAGGUUCAUUGGCUGUUACUGUUGCUGUGAAGCUGAAGAGAAGUGAAGAAGUCUCCGUUCUCUUCUCUCAGCCUGCCCAGCUCUCAUCUAUACAGACUGGAGCAUAGUACACGAAGCGGCUCUGCAAUCGACCUGACCCACUCGCCUCUCCAGCAGCAUGGCUUGAUUGCCCUCCAAACGUGCUGGUCAGAAGCUGGACACACACAACCCAAGUGGAUGGUCGGGAUGUUAGUGGAGUCCCAGACGAAGUGGAAGAAAACCUUCCUCCCAAGGCUGGGAGUCACAGCUGUGUGACAACUGUAUAAUCCUCCUCCCUCUCCAGCCCGCACCGUGGAGGCAGCAGGAGAAAGAGCAACGAGAGGACAAAGGAUUGUGGCUGGACAUUUGCUUCCUGAAACAAGGGUUAACCUGGGACCCCUAAAUCUUUCUCCUUCCCCCCCCCCCCCAGGAUAACCUGACAGUUGGCACAGAAGAAAAAGGAAAUCAAGACACCAUCCUGGACCAACGCAUCAGUCAAUCAUCUAUCUGCCUUCACCCCGAAACACCUCUGAUCCCCACACAGGAGCCAGGUCACGUGAUCCGCCUCUGCUCCCCUAAGGAAGCUAGAGAGCUGGAGGUGGCCCAGGAUGGAAGUGGAGCCAGCAUGGUGUCAGUUAUGCAGCGUGAAAUUCCCUUCAUAUGCUCCAUCUACAAGCUAACUCUUGCGUUUGUUUGCACUGCGUUGAAUUUGCAUUAGUCUUGAGGUUUCGGGCUCUAGAGCAGGCCCACUCCUGAUCCUAGCUCCUCCAGUUUCUGCCUACAGAAUUCUGGGUGAGUGACUGCACCUCUCUCUGUCUUCUUUCUCUCGGCUGUACAAAGGAGAUAAUGCCAGGAUGUGGGUUUGCUAUGGGAUUAGAGGAGAUUACACCAAUGGAGAACAGAAGACAACUGCCAGCAUUUAAUAAA
Mus pahari (shrew mouse) is the source of this 1765-nucleotide long non-coding RNA. RefSeq lists it as uncharacterized. The transcript is spliced from 3 exons. The record is from RefSeq and is a predicted model, not a curated record. NCBI's taxonomy places the organism in Eukaryota, Metazoa, Chordata, Mammalia, Rodentia, Muridae.